This is a long non-coding RNA of Xenopus tropicalis (tropical clawed frog), 316 nucleotides long. RefSeq lists it as uncharacterized. The record is from RefSeq and is a predicted model, not a curated record. NCBI's taxonomy places the organism in Eukaryota, Metazoa, Chordata, Amphibia, Anura, Pipidae. The transcript is spliced from 5 exons.
GGUGGAAAAGGCCCUGAGAAAUCAAGAAAGCAAAAGAGUAUGUAUAGUGAAGCCUGCCUGGAUCUUGGCUUGAGUGUGCAUGUUCUAGAAGGGCAAUGAGAGAUGUGGAAGACCUGAGAGGAUGGCAACGGAGGGAAAAAGUGGUGACGGAGGCAAAAAGUGGUGCCCAACCACCCCAUGGAGCCCUUGUGCAUUUGACCUUUAGAUCUCAGGAUCGUUGAUCGCAGGAGCCUCCUGGUUAAGAAAGGGAAAGACAAGAUGUUAUGAUCAGGGAUUUCGGGAGUCUCCUAAUUGAUAAAAGAUGUUAUGAUCAGGG